UUUUUUUUUUUUCCUGGCAUUCUUAGAGAAUAAACUGCGUCUCAGGUUCCGGUGUGAUGUCAAAAUUUGACAAGAUGAAUGAAAAAAGUAAUAGCAUUGACAGCUCCGUUACACAGCACAAUUCCUCUUGUGCUGCUGAGGGGAAUUGGCAGAUAGGAGCAGUAUCAGUGGACUAAUGUUGUUUACACAAAUGAUUAAUAUUGGGGAAAUUUAUUUUAGAGUGGGGAAGUAAUGCCCACUAGGAGGUUCAAACAAAUAACCGGAGCCUUACUAAGAAUUUAAUCCUGGUGAAGGAAGUAAGAUACUCAAAUUGUGUUUCACCUCUUCAUCUCUACACGCAAACUCUUGAAACUAAGACCUGCUUUUUUCACAGUAAAAGCAUAAAAUAACUGAUAGAGUUUUGCAAGAUAAGGAGAUAAUGCUAUCAGAAUAAGGGACUACAUUGGCAUUUUCCCAGGCUGCAAAUAUACAGUUUUGUUUGCUUUAAAAACUUGUUCCCUCGACAGAGUGCUAUAAAUACAGAUUUUUUUUUUUUAUUUUGGCAUCCACAGUAAUUGAAGAGCUGAAAAACUAUAACCUGCAAUAAUUUGUUCUUGGUUUUAACUUUAGAAAUAGUGGGACUAAUUACAAUUUUCUCCUGCUUGCUUUUAUCAAGAUCCAGGAAGCUGGAGUGAAGAUUUCACAGUUCCUCAUUUGAAGCAGGAGUGUUAAAUCAUACACCCAAAAAAUGGCCUUCAGGGUCAUCCCUUCGACAUCAUCUAAGGCAUCAUCCUGCUAGCUGUCCUAUAGUCCAUAGCAUCUUGCAAGAAAUCAGGGAUGGAUGCAAUAUUCUGACAGAAUUGAGACAGAAAUUGAGCUCAUGAAUUCGGGCACGAUUGCUUUUGGAGGGUGAAAGUCUGUAAGCAAUCAUCCUGCUCUGCUGCUACAACCUUCUGUGGGGGCUCUGUGUGCGUGCUCCCAGAGACAGCAACCCAGUGAGGUCCAUGCUGGCAACAGGCUUGAUACGAGCUGGGAUCUACCUUUCUGAACUGAAAACAUGAGGAUUACUCACAUGUUUAAAAAUAAGCCCAUGUUGAAAUUCCCUUGUUGGAUUAAGACCUAAGCCCUGCAAUUGUCACUCUUCCCACCAGAGGAAAGUGCCAGUGGCUUAACUAAAUAUACUGUCCGCAUCACAGCCUGCCAUUUCCAGAUUGUUUCUCUUUCCCCCUUUACUGGAACUCCUCCACAUUUCUGUAAGUUUAUUUUACUUUUUGGUUGGUUUGCUUUUUUUUCAUCAAUUCAUCACCUCUCCUGCUACGUCCCUUUCCCUGAGCCAUAUGUGAUCUCUCAUCCUGUCCCUUCCAUAUCUUCCUCAUCUUUCUCUGCCUAUUCACCACCCAUUGCUUCAAACUUGGAAGAAA
This is a long non-coding RNA of Athene cunicularia (burrowing owl), 1400 nucleotides long. RefSeq lists it as uncharacterized. The transcript has 3 exons. Lineage: Eukaryota; Metazoa; Chordata; Aves; Strigiformes; Strigidae. The record is from RefSeq and is a predicted model, not a curated record.